UACGGAGAGUGCAAGCAUUAAUCGGAAUUAUUGGGCGUAAAGGGCGCGUAGGCGGGAAGAUAAGUCAGAUGUGAAAUUCCGAAGCUCAACUUCGGAGCUGCAUUUGAAACUAUCAUUCUUGAGGGUUGACGGAGAAAACGGAAUUCCAAGUGUAGCGGUGAAAUGCGUAGAUAUUUGGAAGAACACCAGUGGCGAAAGCGGUUUUCUAGUUAAUACCUGACGCUGAGGCGCGAGAGCAAGGGGAGCAAACAGG
RNAcentral lists this ribosomal RNA (253 nucleotides) under uncultured bacterium. RNAcentral describes it as "partial 16S ribosomal RNA". It matches the Rfam family "Bacterial small subunit ribosomal RNA", at positions 524 to 776 of the family's 1533-position model. The record is from RNAcentral.